GUUUCACUUGCUCAUAGGAUACGGCGUGUGGAGACCUGGCUCUGGGUCCUUCAGCCGGAGUGCCUUCUGCGAAAUGGUGGCGAAGGCACCUUAGUUGACACCUCAGCGGACUGGACGUGUGCAGAAGCGCUGCGGAACAGCGCCUCAAUUCCAAAUUGCGGUGAUGGGCAUGCGUAAAGAUGCACGGCGCACUGGGACGGGGUGUGAGCAGUGCGCAUGCGUCUGCCUCUGAGCACUCUGCCCCCUCCUCCCUGAGGAGAACCCUGAACAAUGGCCGCUGCCCACAACCUGAUGCUAAGUUGUAAGACACUUGGUCCUUAAUGUAAGAGCUCUAGCUGGUGCCUCCUUCGUUCUUUGAUCAACAAAUGAAACUCUCCUUUGCUUGGAAACUCAACGCCACCCUGUUCUAUUGGUGCAAGUGACGGCAGGGCAGGCCGAAGAACCCUUGUUGGAGAGAGACUCUGGUCCCUAACAGGAAGAAGCAACUGCAAAUAGUAGAAGGAGGCGAAGUCUCAAAGAGGGCUGUUCUGUACCCUUGGCGUUAAUCCCUGGAGUGAUUAUGACCCCCUGGAGUUUGAGAAAAUUACAAGAACUCUCCCAGCAAUGCUUAUAAACCCAUUGAGACUACGCUUAAACUUUAGUGGUGAGGAUUGAAGUAAGUUUGGGUAAAGAUUUUAGCUAUAUAAUUGAGAGGAAACUCUAAUACUGCGCUUUCAGACAUUUACUUACUAAAAUUGUGACAGACAUUAUUAACUGACAUUUAAUGUGAACAGUUCUGGGCACAUCCAGACUCAACCUCUUUUUUUCCGUCAACACUUUGCUGACAGGUUUAAUGGACACCUUUGUAAAUUAUUUUAACUGGUAUUAACGAUACCAACCCUUAAGCCCUCUCAAACCUUAUCCCACAGAUUGACUUCUAAUGGAUUAACUGAAAUCAGCAGACAAGAGCUGCCAAAGCAUGAGCAUUUCUUUACAUUUCAGUUUUGGCUUUAUGCUAAGAUGUCAGUGUUUACUUUAAAACUAAAUCCAAUCUCUGCAAAAUAUUUUCAGUUCAUGUGCCAAUAACGUUGUCUCAGCUGUGGCCCAGGUAAUUAUAAGUAAUGGAAAUCAGCAAUGAUAAACUUACUUUAUAAUAAUCUCAGAGACAUGAGCAGUACGUGGAACACAUGCGUUUUCAAUCCAUUAUUGAAAACAUCUGAUACAUCUGUGAGACC
Non-coding RNA from Sus scrofa (pig), 1214 nucleotides. NCBI's taxonomy places the organism in Eukaryota, Metazoa, Chordata, Mammalia, Artiodactyla, Suidae. The record is from RefSeq and is a predicted model, not a curated record.